RNAcentral lists this ribosomal RNA (867 nucleotides) under Triticum aestivum (bread wheat). RNAcentral's name for it is "partial small subunit ribosomal RNA". Lineage: Eukaryota; Viridiplantae; Streptophyta; Magnoliopsida; Poales; Poaceae. The record is from RNAcentral.
AUGGCAUUGCUUUUUCGCUUCAGUCAAUUGAGGAACAGCAUGUUGAGUAGUUGCCCUGCCAGGGUGCUUAUUCCAUAUGCUGGAUUGUCACCUGGAAAGUUGCUUGAUCCAAAAAGCUAUGAGAGGCGUGCUCAAGAGACAGUUAGUUUGCACAGUGCUAGCCUGGGUUCAUGUAUUUCCGGAAUUCAGCCAUUAAAGUUUCAGCAGACUUCUGAACAUGAGCCAUCUGUGCCUCUUCUUAUCUUUGAUAUUGAGACCACUGGUUAUUUCCAGAAGAUCACUGGUAAUGUCCAGAAGGGUAAUAGAAUCACUGAGUUUGCAGUCCGUGAUCUUUGUGGAGGAAAGAAUAGCACAUUUGAAACUCUCCUUAAUCCUGAGAGGGAUGUUCCUGGACACCUUGCAACUGUCAAUAACAUUAACACUGAUUUGGUGUGCAGACCUGAUGUCCCGAGGUUCAGUGAUGUACUUCCAUUACUACUGGCGUUUGUUCGAAGCCGCCAAACUCCUGGCAAACCAGUUAUAUGGGUUGCUCAUAAUGUAAAAAGAUUUGAUGGCCCUUUCCUGGCCCAAGAGUUUGACCGUUGUUCAGCUCAGAUGCCCGAAGAUUGGCUGUUUGUUGACACCCUUUGUUUGGCAAGGAAGUUGCCCAAGCUUUCGGCAUCAAAUGAUAAGAAACAUCUCCUAAACUUGGAGUCACUAUGCAAACGCUAUGAGAUCUCUGUGGAAGGCCCUUCUCAUAGAGCAAUGCAAGAUGUGAUGGCAUUAUGUCAUGUUUUUCAGAAAAUGAGUUUUGAUCUACAACUGACACAUGAAGGAUUAAUGAAUGAGGCCAUCAACGCUAGUUAUUUCAGCAAGUAUCUUAACUAA